ACUCCGGUGGUUAUAGAUGGACAUGCGUUGUAUUAGCUAGUUGGUGAGGUAACGGCUCACCAAGGCAACGAUACAUAGGGGGACUGAGAGGUUAACCCCCCACACUGGUACUGAGACACGGACCAGACUCCUACGGGAGGCAGCAGUGAGGAAUAUUGGUCAAUGGACGCAAGUCUGAACCAGCCAUGCCGCGUGCAGGAAGACGGCUCUAUGAGUUGUAAACUGCUUUUGUACGAGGGUAAACUCACCUACGUGUAGGUGACUGAAAGUAUCGUACGAAUAAGGAUCGGCUAACUCCGUGCCAGCAGCCGCGGUAAUACGGAGGAUUCAAGCGUUAUCCGGAUUUAUUGGGUUUAAAGGGUGCGUAGGCGGUUUGAUAAGUUAGAGGUGGAAUCCCGGGGCUUAACUCCGGAACUGCCUCUAAUACUGUUAGACUAGAGAGUAGUUGCGGUAGGCGGAAUGUAUGGUGUAGCGGUGAAAUGCUUAGAGAUCAUACAGAACACCGAUUGCGAAGGCAGCUUACCAAACUAUAUCUGAC
This 538-nucleotide ribosomal RNA is filed under the name uncultured Bacteroidales bacterium. RNAcentral describes it as "bacterial SSU rRNA". It matches the Rfam family "Bacterial small subunit ribosomal RNA", at positions 209 to 744 of the family's 1533-position model. The record is from RNAcentral. Lineage: Bacteria; Pseudomonadati; Bacteroidota; Bacteroidia; Bacteroidales.